UACGGAGGGAGCAAGCGUUACUCGGAAUUAUUGGGCGUAAAGGGCGCGUAGGCGAUUUGAAAAGUCUUGUGUGAAAGCCCCGAGCUUAACUCGGGAAGUGCACAAGAAACUGUUGAAUUUGAGUUCCGGAGAGGAAGGCGGAAUUCCCGGUGUAGCGGUGAAAUGCGUAGAUAUCGGGAGGAAUACCAGUGGCGAAGGCGGCCUUCUGGACGGAUACUGACGCUGAGGCGCGAAAGCCAGGGGAGCAAACGGG
Molecule: ribosomal RNA, 253 nt
Filed under: uncultured bacterium
Lineage: Bacteria
Description: partial 16S ribosomal RNA
Rfam family: Bacterial small subunit ribosomal RNA
Source: RNAcentral